This 66-nucleotide transfer RNA is filed under the name Dolichogenidea sp. n. SNS-2016. RNAcentral's name for it is "tRNA-Asn". Lineage: Eukaryota; Metazoa; Arthropoda; Insecta; Hymenoptera; Braconidae. The record is from RNAcentral.
UUAAUUGAAACCAAAAAGAGGUAAAUUAUUGUUAAUAAUUUAAAUGAAAAUAAUUUUCCAAUUAAU